RNAcentral lists this ribosomal RNA (534 nucleotides) under uncultured eukaryote. RNAcentral's name for it is "partial 18S ribosomal RNA". It matches the Rfam family "Eukaryotic small subunit ribosomal RNA", at positions 123 to 561 of the family's 1831-position model. The record is from RNAcentral.
CUGCGAUUCAAGUUUGAUUCAGGGACAGGCAAGGACGUAGCUGCCUGUGGGAUAAAACAAGGAACAGUCUUGCCCGGUGGCAGGAAAGAUAAUCCGGGCAAUUCGUAGCCGCUAGUCGGUACGCUCCGACUCGCGCCAGGCAAGGAACAAUCCAGGUGAGUGCGCACCUUAAUCAGGCCACUCAAUCCGUCUUCAACAAUCAGUUCGAUCGGGCGACGGCGCAAACGCCGGCACGGCUGCUUUAUCCAGAGCAGUCCGAUGCUGGCAUUACGGGGAAAGGUGUUUGAUCUAUCAGCUACAGACGGUUCUGUAUUGGAUAACCGUGGCUAUUACGGAUAACGGGGAAUGAGGGUUUGAUUCCGGAGAGAGCGCAUGAGAGUUUGCGCUUACAGCUAAGGUUGGCAGCAGGAGCGAAAACUUUUCUAAUGAGUAAAGCUUGAAAAGGUGACAAACUGUAUUGACAUCAGCUUUGCGUUGAUGAUUGAAAUGAAGUAUUUUUAAUAAGAAUACUGAGUAGCUAGUUCAGGGCAAGUC